RNAcentral lists this long non-coding RNA (1298 nucleotides) under Oryctolagus cuniculus (rabbit). RNAcentral's name for it is "lncRNA (ENSOCUG00000034854.1)". The record is from RNAcentral. Lineage: Eukaryota; Metazoa; Chordata; Mammalia; Lagomorpha; Leporidae.
AUGGGUCCCAAGCGUCUCCCUCGUGCCAGACCCUGGGCUGGGCUCUGCACCUCGCUGCAGCCCCAUUUAAGAGACGUGCUCAUCAAGGCUGGGAGGGACCAGGAACGUGAGAGACCCCGAGGGCCAUCUCGACCCCUCCGAAACACAAUCUGGGGCACAUUCCCACGAUUUCAAGCUGGAAGCACCCAGGACAGAGCAGAACAGUGGCUCAGCCCGGGGAGCGGCCUGUGUCACCGGCCUCUCCCCACACAGCCCGCUGAUAACCAAGGCCGGCUCUCCCUCCCACCUGUUUGCACACUGCGCGUCUUCACUCUUCACUGGACACGCGGUGCUCCGCUGAGCGGCUCAAUCAGGACUGAUUACUCCAAUCUGCUCGGAUGCGCUCAGCACUCCGUGACUCGCCCCGCUGGGCCACCCCGCCAAGAUUAACCUGCUACAGACAACUUUUUUUUUUUUCCUCACGGCUCUGAGCAGAUCUCUAAAAGAUACAUUCCUAGAAUUGCUGGCUCCUCAGGGCUGUUCCAACUUCUGAGGACCUGUUUGCCCACACUCUUGCCAACAAUGCCUGGCACGAAUUUAACCUGAAACCAAGGGCGCCAAGCUGCAGGUACACUCCCGCAGGGUGGCCGGUUCUCCACCUCGCUUUUGCAGAAACGGCCGUGUUGUUGGUUUCAGCCCCAACAGUGUUGCCUCCACUAGGCCCUCGGGGAUCGCCCCCGCUCCAGGGAGCGCUCAGCUCCCGCAGUCUCAGUCGCUGCGUCCCCCCAGCGCCCUGUGUGGCGGCUUGUGUCUGUCGGCCUCCGCCGUCGGACCUGGAGCUCCCAGCCCGCAGGGCCGCGGCCGCUCCAGCACCAAGGACAGGGCCGGCCCACAGUAGGUGCUUAGCAGCUGUUGGUCACUUGCACCCCGGACCCCGGACGCACACGGAGGGGAAACUGAGGCUCGGAGCCUGGCGCAGGCUGCAGCCCGGUUCCCACGCAGGGGGCCCGCGCCUUCUGCGCCAUUCACCGCCGUCCUGCGCCCCGCAGCGCCUGGCACGCACCGGACCCGCAAGGUGCAAGCUUGUCGAAGGAAGGAGCCAGUGAAUGAAUGAACGUGUGCGUGUGCGUGUGUGCGUGUGCGCGUGCGAGGGGAGCUGCAGCCCGCCGCCCCGCCGGCCCCCUCCCCGCUCCGGUAGCCCGGAGGAGCCGCGCGCCCCCCGCCGCGACCCCCGCUUCCGGCUUCCCCGCCGGACUCUCCUCCUGAGGCCCCGACGAGAGCCCGGUUUCCGGGGGGAAGACUUGGGCGGGGACACCGAG